RNAcentral lists this long non-coding RNA (1244 nucleotides) under Olea europaea subsp. europaea. Lineage: Eukaryota; Viridiplantae; Streptophyta; Magnoliopsida; Lamiales; Oleaceae. The record is from RNAcentral.
AUUCAAGAGAAAAUUUAAAAGUUGAGUAAUUAAGUGGUGACUUUGCAUUAGUUUAAUUUUUAUAUUUUAAUUUGAGUUAUUAUACUGUUAUUUCAGGUAAUGACGUGGAAGUUUAGAGAUGCCCAUUAAUUUAGCCAGACUUUUAUCCAUGGAGCAGUAAGUGGAUACGGACUUUUUUUCAGAAAUUAAUAUUUAUUAAAUUUAUGUUAUAUGAAAAAAUUUAUUAUUUCAUACAAUUGAUUUGACAUCAUAAUUUUUAGAAUAAAGUUGAUUUAUAAACAGUCAUUUUUAAAAUUAAAUUUAGUUCAGUUAAAUCGUUUCAUUGGCAUACUAAUUUAGUAUUAAAUAUUUCAGUAUAGUUAAAGUUAUUUUUAAAAUCACCAGAAAGUACUCAAGUGAUUUGAUCCUAGUCUGUACUGGUGUGAAUGUGUUUCCACAAUGUAUGAUCAGUUAUGGUGAUUUCACCAGCUCUACACUAUUGCAAAUGUGUUUCCAUAGUGUAUGACAAGAAUUACAUAAUUUCAACUCUGCGCGCAUAUGACCAGAAUUUAAGAAUUACAGAAUUGAAUAACUUUCCCAUGUAUAUCGGUACUAACCGAUACAUGAGUAAGGUUAUUCCGAGUACCUUGUUGGUGUGAUUUUUCAAUAUUUCUACAGCUUAUCAAAUUUCAGAUUAUAAAAUUCAAUUUAUUAAGCUUUCAGCUUAUAGUAUUGAGCAGCAGCAAUAUUUCAUAGAUUUUCAUGGUAUUAUAUUAUUUAUAGUCAUUAUAUUUUACAAUUGCUUAUCUAGAAUUAAGAACAAAUGAUUUUAUGAUGCAAUCAUGUUUGGUUUUAAAAGUGUUACCAAAUUUCAGAAUUUCUAAAAGUUUUAGUAGUGCAAGAAUUUUCAGAAAAUAUGCAUAAAUGAGAAAAGUUUACUUAUUUGUAAAAUAUCCACACGCUGAAUUUUAAGCUCAUAUAUUUUUUUUCACCUUUUUCUUUAUCGAACAAAUAGCAGCCGAAUUGAGCAGCUUUGGAGCCUGUCGAACCACCGAUUUGAGCCACUCGUCAUAGGCUGUAUGACAUCCUUUAUCAGAUUAUACAUUAUGUGUUUUUUUGGGAUACAUGUAGUUUAAAUAAGAAAAGUUCAUUAUGGGCUCAUUAAAUAGAUGGUAUUUUUAGUAUAUUUAAGGAUUAUUGGUUAUAGAGCAAGUAAAUGUUGAUUUGCCAACAUUUGAUUUGAAUAGUUUAUAUUUUGAAGAACU